CGGCAACAGCUCAAAUUUGAAAUCCGGCGCCCCCAGCGGGCGCCCGAGUUGUAAUUUGCAGAGGAUGCUUCGGGCGACGCGCCUUCCAAGUCACCUAGAACGGUGCGCCGAGGAGGGUGAGAGCCCCGUACGGUUGGACGCCUAGCCCUUGUGAAGCUCCUUCGAC
This 166-nucleotide ribosomal RNA is filed under the name Neonawawia malaysiana. RNAcentral's name for it is "Nawawia malaysiana partial large subunit ribosomal RNA". It matches the Rfam family "Eukaryotic large subunit ribosomal RNA", at positions 99 to 261 of the family's 3401-position model. Lineage: Eukaryota; Fungi; Ascomycota; Sordariomycetes; Chaetosphaeriales; Chaetosphaeriaceae. The record is from RNAcentral.